GCAGAUAUGGGCCCAUUCCUCCAUCUUUUCCUCUGAGGGCGCUUUGUCCAAAACCACAGACAGAUUGAAGCUUACCUCCCUGUCAAACUUCCAAUGAAUACUCUCUCACACUGGUGGUGGGAAAGCAAAUCGGUAAAACGUUUUUGGAAAAUGACAAUCAUCAAGAACCUUAGAAAUAGGAGUUCCCAUCAUGGCGCAGCAGAAACGAAUCCGACUAGGAACCAUGAGGUUGUGGGGUCAAUCCCUGGCCUUGCUCAGUGGGUUAAGGAUCUAGCUUUGCUGUGGCUGUGGUGUAGGCCAGCAGCAACAGCUCCAAUUAGACCCCUAGCCUGGGACCAUCCAUAUGCCACGAGUACGGCCCUAAAAAGACCAAAAAAAAAAACCAAAAACAAAAAACAGAACCUUAGAAAUUUUUUUUUUAAUAUUUUGAUCCCUACUGGAUCAAUUCUAAGAAAAUCUAUCAUAAGGAAAUACUUCUAAAUAAGGGAAACAACAAAAUGAACAAAGUUGUUGUUUAGGGUCUAAUUGUGUACAAUGAACAAAAUAAAGAAUAACACACUAUUAGCAGAACCAUUAAAUAAAUUACUCUUCCCAACAGAAUAUAGCCAUUUAAGGUAAAAUAUUCUUGCCCAAAAAGGGGGGGGGAUGUUUAUAUUGAGUGAAAAUGCAAUGUGAUCAAACUAUGUCAAACAGGCUUAAACACUGCCUAAGCAAAAAGUAAAAUAUUGCACAGUAGUUUUUCUUUCAGUGGUGGGACAACACCUUCUACUUUUCUGUAUUUAUUUAAUUAUCUAUGAAAAAGAUAUACCAAUUUUUGCAAUAAAAAUCUGAUAAUUUUAUUUUUAUAUCAACCAGAAUAUCCUCUACAAAAAGUUAAAUAAGGAUAAAGCCUAAAGAAGGCAGUAAAAAGAGAAAGUGAUUAUUUUUUCUCUCACUAGCUAAAUAUAGUACUGCAAUGUUGAUCCAGCCAUUGGGUUUUCCCACUUCUAAUGAGGGGCCUGCCACAGCUCUCUGUGUGAGGCUCGUCAUCAUUCAGUGCAGGCUAGCAUGCAAAACUCAGCUGGCAGAGGGGAUUAAACGAGGAGGCUGUCCGUGUUCCUCAGUUUAUCAGCAAAUCCACAGUGACAUGCAUUUUCCUUUUUCCUCCCCUCAUGAAUACUAAACCUUCAGCUGUGCACGUCUCUAUCACAUCUGUGCUGCGGGCUAAAAGGCCAUCCUUAUAAACCCUCGACCAGUGGUGGGAGGGCUGCUCAUCUUCACGGUACUCAACUAGCACCUGCAAGGCUUGUGGGUCAGUCAAGAGCUGAGAGUGACAUGAGCAGUUUCUUUGAAUAAUGAUUAAGAAAGGAUGUGUGGAUGAAUAGAUGAAAGAAAAACUCAAUUUUAUCUUUUUCUAGUGAAAGAAGGUCAGCUUAAUCACAAUCUGAACAUCAAAGUUAGUGACUAUUUUUAAAGGCUGAGCAUACUAAGAGGUGGGGGAUAAGUCUGGCUAAACAUUUUUUUUAACAGAGAAGCUUAAUUGUGGCAAGUGGAAGUCAUAGCCCUUUUUAUUCUACUCAUCCUCCUUUCCUCAUACCUUUUGAAAAGUCCAAGCUAUGCUGUCAGAAUAUAGCCUCUCUCAGACCAUAUCGGACUAUAAUUAAUUUCCUUUGAUUUGGGGUCAUUUCAUCUGCAUAAAAAUGCUAAUUGUAAAACCAGGGUAUAGGUAUCAGGUUGAUGUUGUCUCUGGUUUUUUGUUUACUUUUUUGUGCUACUGACCCAGAAAGCCCUUAUCCAUAUUUAUUAAAAAGCAUUAUUCUGUAAUUCAGUCACUAGAAUAUCGGAAGUUAGUGCUUAUCAUUUGGUCACCUCCCUGAGCGUGGAGACAUUUGAUACAAAUGAAGAACUAAGAGAUAUUCCCUAUAAAGGAAUGUUUCAUUACCUCUUCAGAUACUGCCUGACAACACAGAGUGCUCAAAAAAGAAAUAGUGAGUCAAUGAAAGCUGUCUUCUAUUGUUCUAAAAUCAUUUCACAGGCAAGAACCAUGGUUUAAAGUCUUUUGUCUCUUCCAGCACACACUACAGGCAAGGGUUCAUAACAGGCAGUCAAUCAAAAUUUUAGGUAAAUAAACACUCCAAAAUUUGAUAUUAUGAGCAAUCAUAUAAAACCUGCUAAGCAAGUUUUAUGCAAGCUACCUAAGAAUAAAUUUGUCUUUCAUCACAUUCCUUUGCCUUUCAUAGAAAUCUAUCCAAUCUUUCCCCCUCUUUUAAAUGUAAUCGUAUACCAUGACUUCCCACUUAUAGCAGCUUGAAUUGAAUUUGAAAGCGGAUGUGAAUGAUUGAAAAUUAUGACUCAUAAUGAGCCCUUCCUCCUGCACCCUUCUUUGUACAACCACAGUGUAAUAAAUGCACCCUACCGCCCCAAAAGGAAAUGCGUCAGCCCCCAGACAAUAUCGAACCACAACGGACACAGCUAAAGAAAUCAAUAAUCACUUUACACUGAUAUUUGACUUGAAGCAAGGCAACUGCUUUUCAAAUCUGAUUUUUUUUUUUUUUUUGGAAAAUGUAGUGGUAAAACAAAGACUAUUAUAUAGUCAUUUAAAGUAUGUCUGAAACCUCCCAAAGCAAUUUUUCCUGUACGAGAGUGGUGAUGCAAUCAGUGUGGCCCCAUGUAAACAUAGUACAGCAUAAUGCAUUCAGGUAACUUACAUAGUCAUUCAGAGUAGGAGAUCAUUUUCAGGGCUCUGUGAGAAAACUGACAGGCUCAAUAACUCAGUCAUCAAGGCCCUACUGAAGAUCCUGAGCAAAUAUUACCCAUUAAUGAGAAGCAGAGUUGGGAAUUAGGUUUGUCUAAAGAAACCUGGUUCUAUCAGGCUGACCUUGCAAAGAAAGGGGGAUACCUCAAACAAUCCAGCUGGAUAAGAAGACUUGAAUAGGAAAAAUAAACAUGCCCAGAAUAUCAGCGUUCCUUGUAGAUUUGGGAAACAAAAUUUUGGUACUAUACAAAUUAUCAUAGGAAAUUCAACUUAUAUGGAAACUAUACGGUCUUUGGUCUCAUUUGUUUUGAUCAGACCAGUGCUCUGCACCUCAGUCUUAUUCUGUUGGCCAACUAUACCCCCUGCUCAGGCUCAGCUGCUCCUGGAAAGUGCUAAGUCUUCUCCACGUCCCUAAAUCAUUUGCCAGCCCCCUUCUUGCCUUUUAGCUCUCACCUCCCAGUUCCCUCUCCCUCAUUCACCCAUACAGUAACCCCUCUCUGAUCCCACCUCCUUGCUGUUCUUAGAACAAACCAGGCCCCUGUCCAUCACUGGGCCCCUAUGCUUGAUAGUCCCUCUGAUAAAAUGGUAACAGUCUUACUUCUUCAUGGGCUUGCUCCUCACCCUCUGCUCAGGUGACAUCUUCCCUACAGACCCUCUCUGAGACCCCUACUUAAUACUGCAACUUCAAACACACGCAUAUGCACACACUCAUUUGGAUAUAAGCCCCAUCAGGGCAAGAGUUGCUGGCAGUUGUCACUGUUGUCUUCCCAGUGCCUGGAAAAUUCCUUGGAACAUAAUAGGCUCUCACUGAAUGUUUAUAGAACAAAUAAAUGAAAAAAAAACAUACUCAUGGACUUGGAAAACAGACUUCUGGUUGCCAAGGGGGAGAGGGAGGGAGUGGAAUGGACUAGUAGUCUGAGGUUAGUAGAUGCAAACUACUCCAUUUGGAAUGGAUAAGCAAAAAGGUCCUGCUGUAUAGCACAGGGAACUAUAUCAAGUCACUUGUGAUGAAACAUGAUGGAGGAUAAUGUGAGAAAAAGAAUGUGUGUGUGUGUGUGUGUGUAACUGGGCCAUUUGGUGUACAGCAGAAAUUGACAGAACAUUGUAAACCAACUAUAAUAAAAAAUAAAAAUAGGGAGUUUCCAUUGUGGUGAAGCAGAAAUGAACCCGACUAGGAACUAUGAGGUUGCGGGUUCAAUCCCUGGCCUCAUUCAGUGGGUUAAGGAUCUGGCAUUGCCGUGAGCUGUGGUUAGGUCACAGACCCAGCUCGGAUCUAAUGUUGUCGCGGCUGUGGCAUAGGCCGUCAGGUGUAGCUCCAAUGGGCCCCCUAGCCUGGGAACCUCCAUAUUCCGCAUAUUCUGCCCUAAAAAGCAAAAAAAAAAAAAAAAUUAUUAAAAAAAUAAUAAAAUAAAAAUAAAUUUUUAAAAAGAGAAAUAAGUAAAUGGAGGACUAUGAGGUUAAUUGAUUUAUUUAUUUAUUUUUUUUUUUGCUUUUUUAGGGCUACACCUUUGGCAUAUGGAAGUUCCCAGGCUAGGGGUCAGAUUGGAGCUAUAGCUGCUGGCCCAUGCCACAUCCACAGCAACUCGGGAUCUGAACCACAUCUGCGACUUAUACCAUAGCUCGCGGCAACGCCCGAUCCUCAACCCACUGAGCAAGGCCAGGGAUUAAACCUGCAUCCUCAUUCGUUAACCACUGAGCCACAAAUGGAACUCCUAACUAUUUUACUUUAAAUAUCAACCUAUGACAUAUGAAACAGUUUGCCUUCAUAUGGUUUUAGAUGACAGUGCCAAGAUAAAAGUAGAUCAAACUUCUCAAACUAUAAUGGCAAUUGUCAAUGUUUCACUAACCAAAAGUUUUCAAAAAACUGAUGUCCACUUUGCCCAUUUGUCAAAAUUAUUGUGUGGCAGGCAGGAAGUGGGAGGAAGUAUAGAUGAAACAAGAGUGGCAGAUGGUGACAGUUGUUGAAGCUGGGUGGUAGUUAUAUGGAAGUCCAUUAUACCGUUUACAUUGUACAGGUUUGAAAUGUCCUAUAUACAAAGAAAACCUUAUUGAAGAUUAAGAGAUACAAACAACUAUGUAUAAAAUAAAAAGCUACAUGAUAUAUUGUAUAGCCCAGAAAACAUAGCCAAUAUUUUAUAAUAACUACAAUUGGAGUUUAACCUUUAAAAAUUGUGAAUCACUAUGGAGUUCCCAUUGUGGCUGAGUGGGCUAAGAAUCUGACUAGUAUCCAUGAGGAUGUGGAUUCGAUCCCUGGCCUUGCUCAGUGGGUUAAGGAUCCAGCAUUGCUGUGAGCUGGGGCGUAGGUUGCAGACAAGGCUCUGAUCUGGCAUUGCUGUGAGCUGGGGUGUAGGUUGCAGACAUGGCUCUGAUCUGGCAUUGCUGUGGCUGUAGCAUAGGCCAGUAGCUGCAGCUCUGAGUCCACCCCUAGCCUGGGAACGUCCAUAUGCCACAGAUUUGGCCCUAAAAAGAAAAAAA
This 5209-nucleotide long non-coding RNA is filed under the name Sus scrofa (pig). RNAcentral describes it as "lncRNA (ENSSSCG00055022499.1)". Lineage: Eukaryota; Metazoa; Chordata; Mammalia; Artiodactyla; Suidae. The record is from RNAcentral.